This 241-nucleotide non-coding RNA is filed under the name Sarcina ventriculi. RNAcentral's name for it is "Clostridium ventriculi T-box sequence". It matches the Rfam family "T-box leader". Rfam says of the family: Uncharged tRNA acts as the effector for transcription antitermination of genes in the T-box leader family. Lineage: Bacteria; Bacillati; Bacillota; Clostridia; Eubacteriales; Clostridiaceae. The record is from RNAcentral.
UAAAAUGCGAUGAAAAAGUAGAGUAGUAUUUUGGAAAAUUACAGAAAGAAAAACAUUGAUGAGAGUUUUUUAUUUAGAAGAAAUACGAAGUGCCCUUUGGAGUAGAAGCUUGAAAUAAUAGUAGAGUUAUCCGGUAUCACCCGUUAUAAUGAUUAGGCAUGAUAGUGCUAAAUUUCUUAAGUUGUAGAUAUUUUAUUGUAUCUAAAUUAGAGUGGAACCGCGGGUAAACCUCGUCUCUAUG